CGCGUAGGUAAUCUAUCCUUACAUUUGGGAUAACAUCGGGAAACUGGUGCUAUACCGAAUGGUCUUCAUUGCUUUGGGGCGAUGGAGUAAAGGUGGCCUCUUCAUGAAAGCUACCGUGUAGGGAUGAGCCUGCGUACCAUUAGCUAGUAGGUGGGGUAAUGGCCCACCUAGGCUACGAUGGUUAGCGGGUCUGAGAGGAUGAUCCGCCACACUGGAACUGAAACACGGACCAG
RNAcentral lists this ribosomal RNA (233 nucleotides) under uncultured bacterium. Its description in RNAcentral is "partial 16S ribosomal RNA". It matches the Rfam family "Bacterial small subunit ribosomal RNA", at positions 114 to 334 of the family's 1533-position model. The record is from RNAcentral.